AUACGGAGGGAGCAAGCGUUAUUCGGAAUCACUGGGCGUCAAGGACGCGUAGGCGGGUUUGUAAGUCAGGUGUGAAAUCCUACAGCUCAACUGUAGAACUGCACUUGAAACUACAGACCUAGAGUAUGGAAGGGGCAGAUGGAAUUAGUGGUGUAGGGGUAAAAUCCGUAGAUAUCACUAGGAAUACCGAAAGCGAAGGCGAUCUGCUGGGACAUUACUGACGCUGAGGCGUGAAAGCGUGGGGAGCAAACAGGAUUAGAAACCCCGGUAGUCC
This 274-nucleotide ribosomal RNA is filed under the name uncultured bacterium. RNAcentral describes it as "partial 16S ribosomal RNA". It matches the Rfam family "Bacterial small subunit ribosomal RNA", at positions 523 to 796 of the family's 1533-position model. The record is from RNAcentral.